Molecule: ribosomal RNA, 472 nt
Filed under: uncultured bacterium
Lineage: Bacteria
Description: bacterial SSU rRNA
Rfam family: Bacterial small subunit ribosomal RNA
Source: RNAcentral
UUGACGGGGGCCCGCACAAGCGGUGGAGCAUGUGGUUUUAAUUCGAUGAUACGCGAGAAACCUUACCAGGGCUUGACAUAUACAGGAAUGUUGUAGAGAUACAGCAGCCGCUUGCGGUCUGUAUACAGGUGCUGCAUGGCUGUCGUCAGCUCGUGCUGUGAAGUGUUGGGUUAAGUCCCGCAACGAGCGCAACCCCUAUCAUCUGUUGCCAGCAUUUAAGGUGGGGACUCAGAUGAGACUGCCAGUGAUAAACUGGAGGAAGGUGGGGAUGACGUCAAAUCAUCAUGCCCCUUAUGACCUGGGCUACAAACGUGAUACAAUGGCUGGAACAAAGGGAUGCGAAGCAGUGAUGUGGAGCGAAACCCAUAAAAACAGUCUCAGUUCGGAUUGAAGUCUGCAACUCGACUUCAUGAAGUCGGAAUCGCUAGUAAUCGCGGAUCAGAACGCCGCGGUGAAUACGUUCUCGGGGUUU